CUCAUAAUGCAGGACUACAAGUAUACGCUUCUGGUUUUGCAAAUGAUAUAUAUUCAAGCUAUAAUUAUAACUUUGAGCCUGAAGCUGAGUACCUCACGUUCAUUGACAAUUCCCAGUUUGCUGUUGAUGGAUUUAUCACAGACUUUCCUACUACAGCAACAGAAGCCAUCGGUGAGAUUGAUAUACUUUUCAUUGUCUAUAGCCAAAGAAACCAAAUUUGAGCCAUUAGAACAAGAAGAAUACAACUGCUGCAAUCUAAACCUAGGCUCCAACUGAUUUUAAUUUUUUUUUCCCCCUAAUGGAUGCAGUGUGCUUUGCACUUACCAACCUCAACGAAACAAGGAAAGGUAAAACACUAGCUAGUCCUAUUGUUAUCUAAUUAAAGCUUAUUGUGACAUCCAUAUUAUGACAUCAAUUAAAAUUGAUAGAAAUUAAUAGAAAGUGAAGAGGAUAAAUAAUAUAAUUCUUUACUUUUUGCAGAUAGACCUUUGAUCAUAACUCAUAAUGGAGCAAGUGGGGUUUAUGCCGGCUGCACUGAUCUUGCUUAUCAGCAAGCAGUAGAUGAUGGAGCUGACAUAAUUGAUUGCACUGUCCAAAUGUCCAAGGAUGGUGUUGCUUUCUGUUUGGAAUCACCG
Molecule: long non-coding RNA, 635 nt
Filed under: Citrus maxima (pomelo)
Lineage: Eukaryota; Viridiplantae; Streptophyta; Magnoliopsida; Sapindales; Rutaceae
Description: long non-coding RNA (CMAX_LNC002021)
Source: RNAcentral